Molecule: long non-coding RNA, 1205 nt
Organism: Erigeron canadensis
Lineage: Eukaryota; Viridiplantae; Streptophyta; Magnoliopsida; Asterales; Asteraceae
Exons: 2
Source: RefSeq, a predicted model, not a curated record
UCUCUCUUGCAAGAAACACACACAAGCACACAUCUCUCUCUCAUUUAUUUCACCAUCAAUUAUGGUUGUUCAAGUUAAUUUUAUGCAAGAAUAAGCAUCAUCAUCAUCUCAUCUACAUUAUAUCCACAAUUUGAGAAGCCAUUUGCAAGGAAACUCAUCUUGUAGCUCAAUUUCGGUUUUGACUUUUGGAAGGGGUUUUGGUGGUGGACGCAAAGUAAACGUUGAACGGUUGUAACUCAAUUUUUAUAUCAAUCUUAACUCCUAAUUGCCGAUCAAGGUGAGUUCCGUAGUUCCCUACUUAGUUGAGAUUCGGGCUGGAAAGUGUACAUUAUGUGUUACUUGUUGAUUGAUUGAUGGUUUCAACGACACGUUGGUUGAUUAUGUGCAUGUUGUGUUGAGAAUUGUUAUGCUUAGGAUAGAUGUACAUACAUGGAAGUCGAUUAUGCCUUCAUAGGGUUUGAGAUGUGGUGGGAAGACUACGGGUGACCCUGUAUACAAGCAUCAAGAACCCAUUGAAAGUAUAAUCCUCUUAAGUGUAUGUAUGUAUUGUAUUGGUUGGAUUGGUGAUUUGACAAUUGAUGGAUAUGUGGAGGAAAUGGUUGAAUGUAUGGUUAUGUUUAAGUUAUGCGGGACACACACAAGUUUACUCUCUAUGCGGGACACACGCAAGUUAACUCACUUAUGUGGGACACACGCGAGUUAACUCUUUAGGCGGGACACACGCAGGCAAACACUACUUGUGGUUUUGGGUAUUUUGGUUGACUUACUUAUGAUAGAUAUGAUGCUUGUCAUAUGCAUACGAUGAGUAAAUUAGUAUGGCUUCCACUUGUAUUCAUGAUUUCACAUAUUUACUCUCUAUUAUUGAUAACGAUAUGAUUGAUGUUGUGGUUACUGACAAUGGUUCUCCGUGAACCAUCACUACGAACUCACUAACCUCGUGUUGAUUUGUUUAGUACACUUUUCGAGUAAUCAGGCGAACCAAGGACGUGAUACAUGAUUAUACUUGCUUUUGACUCAGGAUUGGACUUACAUGGAUCAAGGAUUCAUUUGCACUCUUUUGCAUUAUGCGUAGGAUCGAUAGCCAUCGUUAGACUAUUAUUUUGUAAACUUGAUGGUCAUUUGCUCCUUGUGCAUUUUGGAUGAAUAUUUAACUUGUUUGUUGGAUUCACCGAAUUCACUUAAUUCAUUUAGUUUGCCUACGGUAA